GCUGGGUGUGGUGGCACAUACCUGUAGUCCCAGCUACAUGGGAGGCUGAGGCAGGAGAAUCGCUUGAACCCAGGAGGUGGAGGUUGCAGUGAGCUGAGAUUAUGCCACUGCACUCCAGCCUGGGUGACAGAGUGAGACUCUGUCUCAA
Unclassified non-coding RNA from Pongo abelii (Sumatran orangutan), 148 nucleotides. It matches the Rfam family "Metazoan signal recognition particle RNA". From Rfam's summary of the family: The signal recognition particle (SRP) is a universally conserved ribonucleoprotein. The record is from Ensembl. NCBI's taxonomy places the organism in Eukaryota, Metazoa, Chordata, Mammalia, Primates, Hominidae.